UAUACCUCAGUUUUAUCAGGUGUUCAUUAAAAUCACCUGAAAAUACUGAGGCUAUGU
Molecule: microRNA precursor, 57 nt
Filed under: Mus musculus (house mouse)
Lineage: Eukaryota; Metazoa; Chordata; Mammalia; Rodentia; Muridae
Description: Mmu-Mir-875_pre stem-loop
Source: RNAcentral